This 248-nucleotide ribosomal RNA is filed under the name uncultured bacterium. Its description in RNAcentral is "partial 16S ribosomal RNA". It matches the Rfam family "Bacterial small subunit ribosomal RNA", at positions 524 to 771 of the family's 1533-position model. The record is from RNAcentral.
UACGAAGGGGGCUAGCGUUGCUCGGAAUCACUGGGCGUAAAGCGCACGUAGGCGGAUCUUUAAGUCAGGGGUGAAAUCCUGGAGCUCAACUCCAGAACUGCCUUUGAUACUGGGGAUCUCGAGUCCGGAAGAGGUGAGUGGAACUCCGAGUGUAGAGGUGAAAUUCGUAGAUAUUCGGAAGAACACCAGUGGCGAAGGCGGCUCACUGGUCCGGUACUGACGCUGAGGUGCGAAAGCGUGGGGAGCAA